RNAcentral lists this ribosomal RNA (460 nucleotides) under uncultured bacterium. RNAcentral describes it as "partial 16S ribosomal RNA". It matches the Rfam family "Bacterial small subunit ribosomal RNA", at positions 338 to 795 of the family's 1533-position model. The record is from RNAcentral.
CCUACGGGAGGCAGCAGUGAGGAAUAUUGGUCAAUGGCCGGAAGGCUGAACCAGCCAUGCCGCGUGAAGGUCAGUGCCCUAUGGGCGUUAAACUUCUUUUGUGCGGGAGCAAUAAUGGUCACGUGUGGCCAGACGAGAGUGCCGUACGAAUAUGCAUCUGCUAACUCCGUGCCAGCAGCCGCGGUAAUACGGGGGAUGCAAGCGUUAUCCGGAUUUAUUGGGUUUAAAGGGGGCGUAGGGUGUGAGGUAAGUCAGCGGGGAAAUGCCCCCGCUCAAAGGGGUGAAGUGCCAUUGAUACUGGCUUGCUGGAAUGCGGAUGCCGUGGGAGGAAUGUGUGGUGUAGCGGUGAAAUGCAUAGAUAUCACACAGAACACCGAUUGCGAAGGCAGCUCACGAAGCCGCGAUUGACGCUGAUGCACGAAAGCGUGGGUAUCAAACAGGAUUAGAUACCCGUGUAGUC